Long non-coding RNA from Poecile atricapillus (Black-capped chickadee), 3874 nucleotides. RefSeq lists it as uncharacterized. The record is from RefSeq and is a predicted model, not a curated record. Lineage: Eukaryota; Metazoa; Chordata; Aves; Passeriformes; Paridae. The transcript has 3 exons.
GCCGCCGGCUCUGCCCCUCUGCCCUCAGAGCCGCCGCCGGCCCUUUCCGCGGCCCCCGGGGCCGCCUCGCUGCGGGGCUUCGUGUGGCUGCCCCGGGGGGGACUCGGGAUGGUUCCUCCCCUCAGCCGCGCCGGGAGAGCGGCGGGAAAGGGGAAUCGCGGCCGGGGAGAGGCGUCCCGAAGGAAUCCAAAUGGGGAUAAUCCGGCUGCGGCCGCAUGCCUCCCACAGCGGCCCGUUCUCCCAGUAACGCGAGGGUGAUGGGUUUGGCCUCGAACAGCGGCUGCCGUGGGGUUCCCCAGGCUCAGACCUGCGCCUGACCGAGACUGAUAAAUCUUUCAUGCACUCGCACAGUUUCUCUCAGCAGAGCAGAAUAAGAGGAUUUACACGGCAAGUUGUGGCUGAAGAACAGCAACUUCACUUAGAAAGAAAGGACCGUAACUCUCAGCGCUCUGCAGCUUGACAGGUCCCAAUCCUUUGCUGAAACAUGAAGGUUUGUCCUAGGAGUUCCCAAAAACUCCACUUGGGAGCUGAGGACUUGCAAAGUGGCAGUGAGUUUCCAAGUGAGUUGAGUUCCCUUACACCAUAUAGUUGUGUCUGCAAUGGAAGCUGCAUUAACUGUUUCAAUGGAGGAAAAAAGUCCUGCCAACCUCAUGAUUAAUUGAUGAAACCUCAUUUCUCCCCCUUCUUGCUGCCAGCCUCUCAGAAUCAUCCCCAUCCCUCACACGAGCCCGGGCUCUUUCCCUGCUGCAGGAAACUUGCACAAGCGGACACAGGAGGAAAGGGGGAUGAAGCUGCUUUGAGAAGCACGAGAGGAGCUGGCGUGUUGUGAGGGAAGGAUGUGGCUGCUAAGCUUCUGCCAAAAGUGGAGUUUAAAAAAAGCUGCCGCACAAUCCUGGGACGACGUUUACGCAGGAGCGGCGCAGGACAGCAGCAACUGGUUCCCAUCAAGCGGGGACUGGUUGUAUCUGCAAGUAUGAUCAAGCCAUCCUGACUGCAAGGUCUGGAAGGACUGGCUAGUGUGGUUUCUGAAAUUAACAUGGCAGCAGAAGACAAAAUCCAUUCUCCAGCCUUUAUUCGUGGGGUUUGGGGCAACAUAAACAGUAAUAAAGAGCAGGGAUGACUAAAAUAGGAAGGCUGGUUUUGCGGGCAUGACAGGAGCAAAAAUAGACAUAUUUUAUAAAUAAAGAUGUCCUGGAAAUCAGAGACUCCCAAGUUUCACGCUCACCAGUUCAGCUGUUCUGGCUGGGGGUCUUCUCCACCAGUAGUGCUCAAGGGAUUUGUGAAGGCAUAAAUGAGCUGUAAUACAAGCACAUGCAUGAAAUGCCCUUCGUGCAAACCAGCCCCAUUAGUUGAUCUACUUGUGGAUGUCAUUUUAACCCACAGGUUCUGGUUAAUUUAGGGCUGGGGGUUUGCUCAGAAUAGGUUAAAUCCAAGUCUUUGAAGAGAGCUGCACGUGUAUUUUCAUUAAGCCUGAGACUGCUGUAGGUGUUGUGGAAGAAAUCAAAGUGCACCAGUGUGACUUGAGAAAAGAAAGCUUUUGAGCUGACCUUCUUCCAGGAGAAUGAAUUCAUGUCUUCAGAAGUGAGCAAGUCUCACUUCAGUGAUCUUAUCUCAGAAAUAAAAAGGCAAUAAGAAAAUGAGAAGAGACGUGGAGGAGGGCGGUAAGGACAGUGGAAGUGAUGGGAUAGAUACCAUAUGAGGAGGAAAGACUAGAAAAACAAGGAGACUCCAGUUUGGAAGAACAAAACCUUGGGGCAAGUAAAGACAGAGAAAUCUGAAGAGGUCAAGAGAGGUCUGGUAUGGACAUGGAAUUCUUUUUCCCUUUUCUUCACAACACAAGAACAUGGAGAGAAAUGUUCAGGAGCCAGGUCUGAAGCAGACAAAAGGAAGUACUUUUACACACAACACAUAAUUAUAUUGUGGAACUUAUUGCCACAGGAUGUCAUGGAGGCCAAAAGUAUAAAUGAAUGAGAAAAAAAACAAAAGGGAUUACACAAAUUCAUGCAACCUCCGGCUUAGGAAGUCCCUCAACUUCUGAUUACCAGGAGCUGGGAGGAAAUGCCAGAGGAAGGAUCACUUUAUACUCUCCCUCUUCCAAUAUCCCUUCCUAAGCAUCUGCAGCUGGCCAAAGCCAGGCCCUAGUUGUUGCCCAAAGUGGAGGUUUAUUCUGAGCCAGUCUGACAAUGUUUAUAUCCUCCUGGCAACUCCCUCAUGGAUGGAGCCUUAGGGAGCAGAGGCAUCUCCUGGUGAGAUACAGGACAGACCCCUAAUUUUGUUACCUGCAGCCCAAUGUGGUCACAGUCAAGUCCGUCGUGGCCACUCUUUGCUGAUUUAGGCUGGUGUAAUUGAGGCCAGAUUGAGCCCUGGAACCUUCAGAGAGACUUUUCCGCUUUCCCUGCCCCUGGGAUUAAGCACUGAAAUCUCUGUGCUAAAACCCUCUUUGAACGGGGAUGGCAGAUAAUGCGCAAACUGAUUAAAAAAAACCCCCAGCACCGGGGAAAGUUAAAUAUUAAAGAGCCAAGGCCCAGUUUUAACUGCUGCUGCCGUCCCUCCUUCAUCUCGUGCCAACUGCCUCCAGGAUACAUGUGCUGACACUGAAUCUCUACCUCACAAAAGCGGCCGCAGCAUGGGCUUUAAAACUCAGCCCAUUAAUACUGGGAUGGGAAGCAGAAAAAUAGAACAAAGACAGCGAGGGACUCCUCUGCUUCCCACCCUGACCAUGCCCGAUCCAUCCCUGCAGCAUCACAGGGCAUGGUACCCCUACCCCAGUGAGGCAUUUUGCCCCUUUGACUUUUCAACAUUAGUUGGUCUAAAAUAUUUUGCUGCCUGCUUUGCCCUGCUGUAACUAAAACUAUAAUUUUCACUAGCAGAGAAGAGGGAUUUGGGAGAAACAUCUGGUCUCAUUUCAUCAGGAUAACAGCUCCGUCUCUAUUUAUACACGCGCCGGGAUCGUUGUGGCUAUCAGCUGUUCUUCUCCCGACAGUUCCUUUCAAGCUGCCGUGUCCUGCUCUGUUGGGGCAGUCCCCAGGUCGAGGCCAACCCGCUGCCACAUGAAACAGGAACCAGGCCCAAAAAUGUGGGCUUGUGAGAGCUUGUCCCCUCCACACCUGGGGCUUGCUGUCUGCCAGGCUGGUGACGAUGUGCCGUGAUGGAUGGUUGCUCCUGUCCUUGUAUCCUGCUGGGGAAAACUGGGAAAACCCAUCUGACUAGACAGUUUGCUGGAACUGGAUGAUCUUUAAAGUCCCUUCUGACCCAAACCAUCCUAUGACUGGAAAAUCAUUUUCUUGGUAAAUCCAGAGACUUUGCUGGUCAGGGAUCAGGCCUGCAAUGAGUCAACCUUAUUGGUCUGAGUAUACCAACCUCAAUGGUCUGAAUUUUUCUCCAAAAUCACAAUGUGGAUUUUGGGGGAAAGCUCAGACCAUUGAGGAAAGACCAGCUGACUCUGACUUUUCUCUAAGGUGUUAGGAGAUAAACUGUGACCCUACAGAGACACGGGAAGGUCAGGGAGUCUGCUUGGGAAGGCAGUACGUCCUACUUAAUUCACCACAGUGGGAAAAAUCCGCUCUGCUGCCUCCCCUCCAGUGCUCACAAGACAUCACAUCUCAUCCAGCAUGUUUAAAAAAACCCCUCAAGUCAAAUGGCCAAGUACCUGGAAAAUUACCACGUAGCACAUUCAGCAGCCAUCUGAAAGGAGCGCUCAUAGCCUGGAUGAUGAUGGGGUGUGGGUCAGCAUUAAUCAUCUCAAGCAAGUCUAUCCCACUGCCCUGCUUUUCCCUCAACCAGGCUGUGCCUCUGCUCCCAUCCCGACCCUCCGAGAGCCCCUGACACGCAGCUAUUUCAGCAUCACUCCCCCUCCUCUUUUCAGCAGCUCUGG